GUUUAGCCCUGAUUAAAAUGGAAAGCAUUGCGCAGAGAAAAUCUAUUUUUUCUUGUCUUAGAAAAGCGACCAACGGAAGCUCUUUCUAGGAUUUAGAAAAAAAGAUUUUUGCAAGCAAUCUUGGAAUGGAAAGCAGGAUUAGCU
Molecule: small RNA, 144 nt
Filed under: Flavobacterium dankookense
Lineage: Bacteria; Pseudomonadati; Bacteroidota; Flavobacteriia; Flavobacteriales; Flavobacteriaceae
Description: Flavo-1 RNA
Source: RNAcentral